UACAGAGGUCUCAAGCGUUGUUCGGAUUCAUUGGGCGUAAAGGGUGCGUAGGCGGUCUGUUGCGUCGGCUGUGAAAACCCGGGGCUCAACUCCGGGCCUGCAGCCGAUACGGGCAGACUAGAGUUCGGCAGGGGAGACUGGAAUUCCUGGUGUAGCGGUGAAAUGCGCAGAUAUCAGGAGGAACACCUGCGGUGUAGACGGCUUUCUGGACCAUUGCUGACGCUGAGACACGAAAGCGUGGGUAGCAAACAGG
Molecule: ribosomal RNA, 253 nt
Filed under: uncultured bacterium
Lineage: Bacteria
Description: partial 16S ribosomal RNA
Rfam family: Bacterial small subunit ribosomal RNA
Source: RNAcentral